CCUACGGGAGGCAGCAGUGGGGAAUAUUGGACAAUGGGGGCAACCCUGAUCCAGCCAUGCCGCGUGUGUGAAGAAGGCCCUCGGGUUGUAAAGCACUUUCAGUGAGGAAGAACACCUGGUGGUUAAUACCCAUCAGGAAAGACAUCACUCACAGAAGAAGCACCGGCUAACUCCGUGCCAGCAGCCGCGGUAAUACGGAGGGUGCGAGCGUUAAUCGGAAUUACUGGGCGUAAAGCGCGCGUAGGUGGCUUGAUAAGCCGGUUGUGAAAGCCCCGGGCUCAACCUGGGAACGGCAUCCGGAACUGUCAAGCUAGAGUGCAGGAGAGGAAGGUAGAAUUCCCGGUGUAGCGGUGAAAUGCGUAGAGAUCGGGAGGAAUACCAGUGGCGAAGGCGGCCUUCUGGACUGACACUGACACUGAGGUGCGAAAGCGUGGGUAGCAAACAGGAUUAGAUACCCCGGUAGUC
This 465-nucleotide ribosomal RNA is filed under the name Vreelandella stevensii. Its description in RNAcentral is "partial 16S ribosomal RNA". It matches the Rfam family "Bacterial small subunit ribosomal RNA", at positions 338 to 795 of the family's 1533-position model. The record is from RNAcentral. Lineage: Bacteria; Pseudomonadati; Pseudomonadota; Gammaproteobacteria; Oceanospirillales; Halomonadaceae.